RNAcentral lists this ribosomal RNA (657 nucleotides) under Kocuria sp. 3T22. RNAcentral's name for it is "bacterial SSU rRNA". It matches the Rfam family "Bacterial small subunit ribosomal RNA", at positions 57 to 723 of the family's 1533-position model. The record is from RNAcentral. Lineage: Bacteria; Bacillati; Actinomycetota; Actinomycetes; Micrococcales; Micrococcaceae.
GCAGUCGACGCUGAGCUUGGUGCUUGCACUGGGUGGAUGAGUGGCGAACGGGUGAGUAAUACGUGAGUAACCUGCCCUUGACUCUGGGAUAAGCCUGGGAAACUGGGUCUAAUACUGGAUACGACAUGUCACCGCAUGGUGGUGUGUGGAAAGGGUUUUACUGGUUUUGGAUGGGCUCACGGCCUAUCAGCUUGUUGGUGGGGUAAUGGCUCACCAAGGCGACGACGGGUAGCCGGCCUGAGAGGGUGACCGGCCACACUGGGACUGAGACACGGCCCAGACUCCUACGGGAGGCAGCAGUGGGGAAUAUUGCACAAUGGGCGGAAGCCUGAUGCAGCGACGCCGCGUGAGGGAUGACGGCCUUCGGGUUGUAAACCUCUUUCAGCACGGAAGAAGCGAAAGUGACGGUACGUGCAGAAGAAGCGCCGGCUAACUACGUGCCAGCAGCCGCGGUAAUACGUAGGGCGCAAGCGUUGUCCGGAAUUAUUGGGCGUAAAGAGCUCGUAGGCGGUUUGUCGCGUCUGCUGUGAAAGCCCGGGGCUUAACCCCGGGUGUGCAGUGGGUACGGGCAGACUUGAGUGCAGUAGGGGAGACUGGAAUUUCUGGUGUACCGGUGAAAUGCGCAGAUAUCAUGAGGGAACACCGAUGGCGAAGGUA